This is a non-coding RNA of Pangasianodon gigas (Mekong giant catfish), 72 nucleotides long. The record is from the annotation of a GenBank genome assembly. Lineage: Eukaryota; Metazoa; Chordata; Actinopteri; Siluriformes; Pangasiidae.
UCCAUGGAAGACUACUGGUCAGGCCAUGGUGCUCUCACCGCUGAGGCCUGGGUUCAAUUCCCAGCCAGGGAA